This 627-nucleotide ribosomal RNA is filed under the name uncultured bacterium. RNAcentral's name for it is "bacterial SSU rRNA". The stretch from base 1 to 539 matches the Rfam family "Bacterial small subunit ribosomal RNA", at positions 338 to 873 of the family's 1533-position model. The record is from RNAcentral.
CCUACGGGAGGCAGCAGUGGGGAAUAUUGGACAAUGGGCGCAAGCCUGAUCCAGCCAUACCGCGUGGGUGAAGAAGGCCUUCGGGUUGUAAAGCCCUUUUGUUGGGAAAGAAAUCCAGCCGGCUAAUACCUGGUUGGGAUGACGGUACCCAAAGAAUAAGCACCGGCUAACUUCGUGCCAGCAGCCGCGGUAAUACGAAGGGUGCAAGCGUUACUCGGAAUUACUGGGCGUAAAGCGUGCGUAGGUGGUUAUUUAAGUCCGUUGUGAAAGCCCUGGGCUCAACCUGGGAACUGCAGUGGAUACUGGAUGACUAGAAUGUGGUAGAGGGUAGCGGAAUUCCUGGUGUAGCAGUGAAAUGCGUAGAGAUCAGGAGGAACAUCCAUGGCGAAGGCAGCUACCUGGACCAACAUUGACACUGAGGCACGAAAGCGUGGGGAGCAAACAGGAUUAGAUACCCUGGUAGUCCACGCCCUAAACGAUGCGAACNGAUGUGGUGNAUGUGCGCNGUAUGAGACGACGACGUAGUUACGUCCGCCGCGGGAGGUACGGUCGGUCGAGACGUUAGUAACGUUACGAAAGGAAGUUAGACGGCGNGAGACGNGCGACGGACGACGACGAGGGAGGAGG